Molecule: long non-coding RNA, 444 nt
Organism: Tachysurus vachellii
Lineage: Eukaryota; Metazoa; Chordata; Actinopteri; Siluriformes; Bagridae
Exons: 3
Source: RefSeq, a predicted model, not a curated record
UUCUGGCAUGACCUAUGUCAUGAACAAAAAGUGGAUAUUAUGGGUGAUGGUACAGUCCGAGACGGAAAAGUCAUUGGAGCCCAUCUUUUACGGGUUAGCACACCAGUACAGGAUGGCUGGAAUUGAGAAGGCACAGUACCAGUGGGUAGAAAGGGAUUGCUGUGUAGCAUAUAUAGUGCCAGACCAUGAAGAAAUGGAACACCUGAACUGGGAUGCUUGGCAGCUUGGCAAUGGCUUUAUUGCUAAGGCAACAUCGGCUGAUCUGUGAAACGCAUGUGCAUCAAUUGUAUGAGACGUUUCCUCUGGAUUGCUGUGCAGCAUUUGGAGUGCCAGCUAUUAAUGCAAAGAAGGACCUGAACUGGGAUACUGGCAUUGCUGAAGUUAGUUUCUGGUGACCUACAAAACUCCUGUGCAUCAAAAUGCUGCUGCAACCAUCAUCUAACC